CCCACCAGGGUUUUCUAAUUACAAAAAUGAUAACUCUGAUGGGAAAAAAAGAAUUUUAGAAGGGUCAUUUUCAAAUUUUAAUAUCCAAGAAUAAGCUAAGAAAACUAUAGAUAUGGGAGAUGAUGAGGGAUUUAUUGUGGGUGGUUGUUUUUCUCGAGUUCCAGAAGUCUUUGGUGGUCAUGUUGAUAAAAGAUGAUACCCAUGAAUUGCAUCUCUAUAAAUAUUCAAGGGGUAGGGUGAAAAUCUUGUGUUAUAAACAUAAGGUUAACUUUUUGGCAAUUCAAGAAACGAAGAUGGAAACUUUAGACUUGGGUGUGGUAUGUUCGUUUUGGGAAAACACUAGUUUUUCUCAUGUUUUCUCUCCUUCUCAAGGAGCUUCGGGAGUAAUUUUGGUUAUUUGGAACCCGAAUGAUUUUCUCAAAAAAGGGUUAUUAUUUCUAAGUGGUUUGAAGCAAGUGAGGCUGUUUGUGUGUUGUCUGGUUUAGAAGUGAUGCUUAUCUCUAUUUAUGCCCCACACAAUGUAGAGUGCAAGAGACAAUUAUGGAACAACCUUUUGCAGUUGACUGUUUCUUUCUUGGGGGUAUCAAUUUCAUGGGAGGUUUUUUAAUCAAUUCAUUGAUGAGGCACACUUGAUUGAAUGGAUCGAUUUUUGGUUUCAAUUGGUAUUCUGAGCUCUUUUCCACAUUUAUCAGGUAUGGUGUUGGAGAAGAAUAUCCCAUAUCAUCGACUUAUCCUUAUGGUGGAGCAUGCUGUCAAUUAUGGUCCUACUUCUUUUUGAUUAUUUAAUUCAUGGAUGGAGAUGGAGGGUUUUGAUGAAGUGGUCAUGGAUUCUUGGAGUCAUCCAGUUAGGGCUUCUGAAGAUGCUAAUCCUUGGAUUAGAUUUAAGAAGAAACUCCACCAUCUUAAAUCUAAUUUGAGGGUUUGCAACUCUUAUGCUAGGACUCAGAUGUUUGGGAAAAGAUCUGAGAUUCAAGAGAACAUAGAAUCUCUUGAUCAACGUCUUAUGGAGAAUGAUGGCUAGAAUCUCUUGCGGGAACAAAGAAUCACUCUUGCAAAAGAAUCAUCAUAUAUUCAGCACCUCACUCAGAUUGAUUUAAUGUAGAAGGUGAAGAUUCAGUGGGGUGUUGAGGGUGAUGAGAAUUCUAGCUUUUUUCAUGACACUGUUAAUUGUAAGAGACGAAAGCUUGCCAUUCGUGGUGUUAUGCGGGAUGAGUUGUGGAUUGGUGCGCCGAUGCUUGUUAAGGAUCCGUUUCAGGAUUUUUAUCAGUCCCUUUAUAAAAGGCAAAGGGGUAGAAAGCUUAAGACCCAGUCGAUCCAUUUUCAUACUCGUUUCGAGUCUUAGAUCGGUUUUCUUAUUGCUCCUUUUUCUUGCAAUGAGAUUAAAAGUUUCCAGAAGGUUUUUCUUUUGGCUUCUUCAAAAGAUAUUAGGAUCUUUUGUCUGUUGACAUUGAGGUGUUUGUCUCUCACUUUCAUCAUCAUUCCUCCAUUCCUAAGGGAUGUAAUUCAUCCUUUUUCAUUGUGAUCUCGAAUGUUAGAGACCUAAAAUUUGUUAAAGAUUUCAUACCUAUUAGUUAAUUAUUGGCAAACUCUUAGCUAAGAGGGUAGCAGAGGUUAUUGAUUCGGUGGUCAGCUUGGAGCAAUCUACUUUUGUUAAAGGUAGACAGAUUUUAGAUGGUCCAUUCUUAUUGAAUUAAGUGGUCUCUUGGAAAAAAGCUGCAAAACAUCCCCUAAUGAUCUUCAAGGUGGAUUUUGAAAAGGCUUAUGACUCUUUUUCUGAGGAUUACUUGCUAGAGAUGAUGCAAAUUAUGGGGUUUGGGCCAAUCUGGUGUGGAUGGAUUUUAGAGAUGUUGAGGUCUUCUAGAGUUUCUGUUUUGGUCAAUUGUUCUCCUACUGUUGAGCUCCAAAUGAUCAGAGGCCUUAGGCAGGGAGAUCCCUUGUUCCCUUUCUUAUUUAUUUUAGCUAUGGAAGGGUUCCAUGUCGCCUUGGUGAGGGCCCAGUUGGCUAAUGCAUUCAGGGGGAUCAGUGUUAGUGGUAUGGAGAUUUCUCCUUUAUUUUAUGCCGAUGAUGCGGUGCUUCUGAUAAAUUGGGAUCUAAAGAAUACUAACAUGAUUGUUUGUAUCAUGUGUUGCUUCUUUCUCACCUCGGGUCUGAAAAUCAGUUUGCUUAAAAGCAAAUUGAUUGGUGUAGGAGUCCUGUUUUCUUAGGUUGUGAAUGUUGCUAAUCAUGUUGGUUGUGGAGCUGAUUCUAUUCCGUUCAUUCAUCUAGGUGUGCAUAUGGGUCGGAACAUGGCUCAAGUUUCCGCUUGAUCACCAGUUAUUGAGCGCAUUAGGAGUCGUCUGGAUGGGUGGAAGGCACACUAUUUUUCAUUUGGUGGUCGCCUUACUCUGAUAAAAUCUGUAUUGGGCAGCUUAAGAAUUUAUUUGAUGUUUAUUUUUCCGGUUCCAGUUACAGUUAUCCAGCAGUUGGAGUCUCUUAGGGCUAGAUUUUGUUGGGGUGCGGAUCGUGAUGAUAGAUGUAUGCAUUGGAUUAGAUGGGAUAGAGUGACGGGGAGUAGAGCAGACGGUGGAUUGGAUGUAGGUAGCUUGUAUUCGUUUAAUAGUGCUCUUCUCUUACUCCUAAAAAUGCUUAUUCGGGUCCUUAGAAUAGUAUUAUUCAUGCCUUACGUAUUCUGAGGAAUCGGGAUUUUGAUCUUCAGUCUUUUUGUCCGAUCUGUGUGGGUGACGGGAGAAUUACUUCUUUUUGGAUGGAUGUCUGGUGUGGUACCUCCCCCAUUUCCAUGAGGUUUCAGAGGAUUUUUGCGCUUGAUGUGCAUAGGUAGGCGUCAGUUCGGGAUCGUUUUUUGAUUGGUUUAGAGACCCAUUCUAUUAGACGUAAGCCUAAGGGAGGUAUGGAACAAUCGCAAUGGGAGGAGCUUACUGCUCUUUUACAGGUUGAAGUGUGCCAACAAGAUAUGGGGCGUGCAAGUAUGAUGGAGAAAUUUCAAAAGAGAAGUGUUGUAAAAUCAUGGCAAACACCAUUUUCGCUUCUAACAUAGCAAAAAUUUGCCCAACAUAUAUACAUGGACCUCCUCCAAACGGAAGGAUCAUUAUGUAAAUGGAUAGUACUCACUUGGAGGAGAGUUCCAGCUGGUAACAUUAUGUCUCCUAAUUUGUUUUCUUUGUGUACCAUACGUCCUAACCGGUGGAUAUAGCCUAAGAACUUUGUUAAAAAUCAUGUUGACCUGUUACACACAAUAAUUAGUACAAUAUAUAAAUGAACAAUGUUGAAGCAAAUAUAGGGCCUUCAUAAUGAUGGAAAUACUUACUACUUUUAGAUGAUUUAACCCCUCAAAAUCCGGUUUUUUGUCUCUAAAAAUGUGUAAAACUUCAUCUGUAGGCUCUAGCACGUUCUUGCCAGUUACUGUGUUGACCCAAUAAAAUCAUAGUCCAAAUCAAUAAAUUUCUUGUAGUUUCUUGUCCAACAAUAUAAAAUAGCUUGCAUUUCUCAAUAAUUUCUUCGAUUGUUAGCCCUGAGUUUCUAUUACUCUCUUGUUUAAUUUCAUCAUUAUUUGAUUUCAAAAGAAUUUCUAGCAGGUCGUCAUUACUACUUUUCCCAGCUUUCAUUGCAACAAGUCGACUAUCAAUAAUACCUCUUAUUGAAGCUUUGACUUUUUGGUUUAUCUCUUUCACCCUCUUGUUGUGUUUUAUUGGCAAAUGGCUACAAGAUCGUGUUUAAUAGCUCACAAGUCAGAUUUUCAAGAGUAAAAAUUAGGAAAUACACUUGAACUACAAAUUGGAUAUAGUUGUUUAUUUUAAAAACAUCAAUCAUAACAUGAUUAGACCAAUCCUCAAAAACAAUCUAACAUGCUCACCUUGAUCCUGGAAUGUAAAUUGACUGUGUUGACUUUAUAACCAAUUCAAGCAUUUCCUGCUGAAGUUCAAAUAUCUUUCUUCCUUCAUCAAAACUACUACCAAAUACUGUACGUGAAAUUGGAUCAUUAGAAAGUGUCUGGAGAUAAGGACAAACAUCAACUUCACAGGAGCUUUCUUUGGUGAGCAUCUCCGCCCAUUUGUUUACCAGAUCAUUGCAACUCGUAUAGAAUGCAGGUACUAUAAGCUACAGACAAAUGUAUACAAAUUUAGAAGUGUUAGAUUUCUUUUUCAAUAUUGUAAUUGAUAGAGAGAAGGGGGAAUAAACCUUUAACUUUUCAACAUGGAAUGCAGGAUUGAUAAUCUUUCUAUGUUUGACCCAUUUGUCACCUUUAGCAUCAAUGACCCCUUUCAUUAGCUUUCUUAUUAUAGGAUUUCCUCCUCUUGCUUUCGCAAAUUUAUAAUAAUUAGCCAACAUCUCUUUUACCAAGAUAGGUUCAGUCACGUACACCAUAGGUUUUGGUCCCAUCCACGCGAAACAAAUCUUACCUAUAAAACAUAAGCAUAUAUAUAUAUAUCAGUUAACUUCCAUAUUUUUGGAAUAUUGUUCCCAUAAAAAUUAUUUUUAAUAUUUAUCCGAAAAUAUAAAAAAUGAUACGAUUUGUUGUCUUAUUAACCGGUUUCUAUUUUAAACAACUAAUUUUCUCUAACCUGGCUAUUGUUAUUGCUUCCUUUCUUCGAAUUAGGUUACGAUUAAAAAAAAUGCACGUCCAUAAGGGAGAGGAAAGGUCGCCAAUCAAAUUGUAAGUUUUUUGGGGUUGUAGUAGUUAUUAACGGAGACUAACCAAUGGCAUCAUCAUAAGUAAUAGGGAUGAAACUGGGUCCAAACCCGGACUGGAUGGACCUGGACCUAGAAAACCCGGAACUGGUUAGAUAUGCAUUUUUUAAAACUUUCACAGAGUACAAAAAUGCUGAAAAACUAAAAACUUCCAACUUUGAUAUCUUCACUUUGGGAGAGCAUAAAUCAAUGAAUAUAAAACUAAAAAUGACAAAUUUUAGUUUAAAAUCAUGUAAAAACUCUAAACUACGGGUCGGAAAAAACUGUAUGUCAAUCCAAGUUAUAACGAAUGAGAUAUACAUGUUUUAAACGCUUCACAGAAACCGGUUCCAGCCCCUAAAAGUGGUUCUGGUUCCUAACAUCGGUUCCGGUUCUCAGACCCGGUUUACCCAGACCCGAUGGACCCAAACUCGAAUUACCCGGAACCCGGAUGAAACCAAAUUUUAAACCCGGAACCAGAACGGGUUCUAGAUAUUCCGGUUCUAGUCCGGUUUUUCAGUUUUAAAUCUCAUCCCUAAUAGGUAACAUCACACUUCAAUCACCAAACUAAGGAUGAUUACUUAAAAAAGUUUUUUUGGGUUCUAGUUAGAGCGUCCGCGGUGCGGUUUGGUGUGACUUAUAGGUAAAACUGUAAACCGCACCGCAUAUACACAUUGAGUUUUUUUGAAACGGCAAACUGCACCACAAAUGUUUAAAACCGCGUAAUGCGAUACGGUUUGGUGUGGGCGGUUUACGCGGUUUGGAUGCGGUUUGUGCAGUCACAGGAAUUGCUUUUAAAAUAAAAAAUAUGAUUCUUUUGUUAAAAUAUUUUAAUAAAUUGUAAUUCGUGUUAUAAUGCCUUUAGUUUUAGAAGUAUGAUUGUUGUUGUUUUUUUUUUUUUGAAAUAAAAUUGUACUUUACAUAGUAAAUUUUAAAGACCUCACUCAAGUAAAUAUAAUUGCAUGUGUGGUUUUCGUUUUUUGCUUUGCCUUGACUAAAUUCUCGUGGGGUACAAGAAGUUUGAUUAGAUAUGUGUUCGGAACAGAGCGUUUGGAAGCGUUUGAGAGCUUCUAGCUUCUAACGUUUGACAAAACGCUCCGUUUUGAACAGCAAGUCUCGUUUGACACUACAAGCUUCUAGCGCUUAGUUUAAACAAAACGCUUCAAAUCCAAAUACUACUUCAUGUAAUGAUGCGACCUUGCUCUGGUUUCUUCCGUGAACUUCUCUCGAUCGUCUAGCUAUCACUGCAAGAUCACAAGAACAGAGGUCGUCAGCCGCUUUCCGGGAGGGACUCCUGGAAGAACGCUCUGACGGUCAAGUUAGAGGGUAUUUUAGGGUUUGUGUGUAUUCUCUCUAGAAAGCUUAGAGAACUCACUUCGUAGGUCUGAGAGCACAUCCUUUUAUACCUAGCGCUCAUGCCUGAGCCGUACCAGAUAUAAUCGCUUUUGGGGAGACAGGAUCAGAGGCGCUGAUUGGAGGGUCGUGCGCCUUCAACCGCUAGAGCGCUCUCAAUGGCUCAGAAGAUAAUGCUCUGAUCCUCCUGCUUGUCUCCUGACCGUAUCUUUUGUCCUGGAGCCAGGAGCGCCUCUUGGUGGGUGCGAGCCUUUCGCCUGUGCGCUUCGCUCCCGGGGACGCCAGCGGGCGCUAAGCCUGCUGGGCUGAGCUUAGUUGGCGUGCCCGGCUCUUGGGCUAGACGCGGUUCUGCUGUGCUGCCCUAGGCACGCCAUCAAGUCCACCAGUCUAGUAGUCGCAACGUUGCAGCGCUAAUUACGGCGUUCUGGGCUUAACUAACUGACGUGUGUCGGUUUUUCUUUAUCCGUCACUCCGUCUUUAAUGGCGACGUGACUGCGAGAUAUGACUGGCAGUUAUAUCACUGUGCCAGACAUUUAAAUGUCCCGCCUCUUCCACUUCCUUAUUAAGGGUCUCUGCACGGUUUCUCUUGCCUCAUAUGUUCUUCUUUUUCCUCUUUGCGUUCAUCUUCUAUUUUCAUUCAUGGCAAGCCUUCCCGGAAUCAUUCCAUCCACCGCCAAGUAUCGUCAAUUGGCGAUCACUUAUGGUUUGUCUUCCUUGUAGGGUGUGGAGUUUCCCUUUCCUGGUUCCAGCAUCUCUUCCCCUCCCCUAGUAAGAUUGGGGUUUAUCUGAAAACCCUAGACGCUUGUAUACGCUUUCCGCUAACGGAUUUCCAGGAGGAGGUCCUCCAGAAUGAUGGUUGUAGCCUUCAGAUGUUGACUCCCAAUGCAGUUAACAAAGUGGUUGCGUUUGAAAUGAUCUGUCGGGCCAACGGGUACCUUCCGGAUUACUUCGUCUUCAAGUUUUUCUUCCGGUUCUGUGUUACCGGAGAUAAAUGCACUUUCUCAGUCCGACGAGGGGGACACAUUUUUUGGUACAUAUCAAAUAAUAUAUAAGGACGGGUGAUUAUAUUCUCAUCCCUGUGUCUAAUUCUCAUACUCAUAUCUUAUAAAUUUUAUUUUAAAACACUAUAUGGUGUGGAUGAUGAUAUGAUUAUGUACAACUUAUUAUAUAUAAAGCAUAUAAAACAAACUAUAUAAAAUUAUAAAGUUUAAUAGGAUCUAUGCAUGAUGCGUUUUUUAGCUCCAACAAAGAGAUAUGAUGUUUUACUUGAAUAUUAUGUGAAUAAUUAACCCUUAGAUAUUUGUAUGAUGUUUGUUUGGAAAGUCGUAUUAAAAAUGUUAAUAACUAAAAACUCAAUUUUAUGAAAUACGAGGAGCUUUAAUAAAAUUAGUUCAUUGUAGAGAAUAUUAGAAUUGAACAAUAUAGUGAAUAUGUUUGGAUGUGUUGUUAGCAAGGUUCUAAAUGGCGUGAGGCGUGGCGUGACGGCAAGGCCAAACCUCAAGCUUAACGAGCCAUGGCGAGCCAUGGCGUUUUUCAAGACGUGAUGUAAGGCGGCGAUUUUGUAUUAAUUUAAAAUUAUAUUACCACAUAAAUAUAAAUUUAUAUUAAAUAUAACUACUUUUUAGAAGUGUUAGAUCAAUAAUUAAUAACAAAAAGUUAACAAAAACCACACUACUUGUAUCUCCGAUUUGAAAAGACAUAACAAAGAGCAAAAAAAUGUGUCUCAAACGAAAAAACAUGCGCCAUAACACGCCAUAACGCGUCAUGGCGCGCCAUGACGCGCCUUUUAGAACACUGGUUGUUAGUGAAGCUAACGAAAUUGUAGCGAAUGUUAGAAUUGAACCUAAAUUCUCCUAUAAAACAUCUCAUUGAAAAAAAAACAA
Long non-coding RNA from Lactuca sativa (garden lettuce), 7901 nucleotides. RefSeq lists it as uncharacterized. The record is from RefSeq and is a predicted model, not a curated record. NCBI's taxonomy places the organism in Eukaryota, Viridiplantae, Streptophyta, Magnoliopsida, Asterales, Asteraceae.